This 347-nucleotide unclassified non-coding RNA is filed under the name soil metagenome. RNAcentral describes it as "partial contains 5.8S ribosomal RNA, internal transcribed spacer 2, and large subunit ribosomal RNA". The stretch from base 1 to 119 matches the Rfam family "5.8S ribosomal RNA", at positions 36 to 154 of the family's 154-position model. The record is from RNAcentral.
AUGAAGAACGUAGCGAAAUGCGAUAAGUAAUGUGAAUUGCAGAAUUCAGUGAAUCAUCGAAUCUUUGAACGCACAUUGCGCCCGCCAGUAUUCUGGCGGGCAUGCCUGUCUGAGCGUCAUUUCAACCCUCAUGCCCCUAGGGCGUGGUGUUGGGGAUCGGCCAAAGCCCGCGAGGGACGGCCGGCCCCUAAAUCUAGUGGCGGACCCGUCGUGGCCUCCUCUGCGAAGUAGUGAUAUUCCGCAUCGGAGAGCGAUGAGCCCCUGCCGUUAAACCCCCAACUUUCCAAGGUUGACCUCAGAUCAGGUAGGAAUACCCGCUGAACUUAAGCAUAUCAAUAAGCAGAGGA